AGCCGUUACCGGGAAGGGACGAGACGGACCAGGGUUAGCUAGUUAGCAUACUAACUUCAGUAGGAGAACGAGAAGAAAGGGCACGAUAGAGACAAUAAUUAAUAUUGGCGUUGCUUUGCACUACCGGAGACAGCUCUUGCAGUGGAGAUGUGCAGAGACAGCAGAUUGAAGCAGAUGGCAAGAGUCAUUGUAAUAACAAGUCAAGUGAUACCCUCAGCAGGUCACAUCCACUGGGCUAGACUGCCUUAACAUCAGAGAUCUUCAGCCAGCAAUUUCUACAUGGAAAAUUGAUUUUGGCUUUACGCACAUAAGAAGAAGAUUGCCUGAACAUUUACAAGUUAAGACACAUUUGGGAAAAGGGACUACAUUUUCAAUAAAUGUUCGUAGUACUUUUUCUGUUUGAAUGUGUUCAGCCUGUGAUAAAGAGAAAUCACUCAAAACAUUUGCCAUGAUAAUGGGGCUCAA
Long non-coding RNA from Seriola dumerili (greater amberjack), 465 nucleotides. RefSeq lists it as uncharacterized. The record is from RefSeq and is a predicted model, not a curated record. The transcript has 3 exons. NCBI's taxonomy places the organism in Eukaryota, Metazoa, Chordata, Actinopteri, Carangiformes, Carangidae.